RNAcentral lists this long non-coding RNA (4132 nucleotides) under Salmo salar (Atlantic salmon). RNAcentral describes it as "lncRNA (ENSSSAG00000107118.1)". Lineage: Eukaryota; Metazoa; Chordata; Actinopteri; Salmoniformes; Salmonidae. The record is from RNAcentral.
UAUCCUACAGGAGAGUAAGGACACCAGCAGUGGUGUAUCCUACAGGAAAUUAAGGACACCAGCAGUGGUGUAUCCUACAGGAGAUUAAGGACACCAGCAGUGAUGUAUCCUACAGGAGAUUAAGGACACCAGCAGUGAUGUAUCCUACAGGAAAUUAAGGACACCAGCAGUGGUGUAUCCUACAGGAGAUUAAGGACACCAGCAGUGAUGUAUCCUACAGGAGAUUAAGGACACCAGCAGUGAUGUAUCCUACAGGAAAUUAAGGACACCAGCAGUGGUGUAUCCUACAGGAGAUUAAGGACACCAGCAGUGAUGUAUCCUACAGGAGAUUAAGGACAACAGCAGUGAUGUAUCCUACAGGAGAUACGAAUAUCACGUAUUAUUGAUAUCUAUAUAGCUCAAUGAUGUGAAUCACACUUCUGCUCUCUCAUUCAGCUAUUUGUAUCAGAGAUCAAGGUAAGAUCCAGAAACAGACUGUCGAAGUAACAAUGUUUAAUGUUCCAACAGAGGCAAGCAGUAGACAGGUCAAGGCAGGCUGAGGUCGGUAAUCCAGAGGCAAGCAGUAGACAGGUCAAGGCAGGCUGAGGUCGGUAAUCCAGAGGCAAGCAGUAGACAGGUCAAGGCAGGCUGAGGUCGGUAAUCCAGAGGGAGGCAGAGUUACAGGUCAGCAGGCAGGGUCGGGGGCAGGCAGAGUGGUCAGGCAGGUGGGCUCAGAGACAGGACAGGCAAGGGUCAAGACCGGGAGGAAUAGCAAAAAGAGAAUAGAAGCAGGAGUACGGGAAAACACGCUGGUUGACCUGAAAAACAUACAAGACGAACUGGCAACAGACAAACAGAGAACACAGGUAUAAAUACACAGGGGAUAAUGGGGAAGAUGGGCGACACCUGGAGGGGGGUGGAGACAAGCACAAGGUCAGGUGAAACAGAUCAGGGCGUGACAAUUUGUGCCUUACAGAUUGUAGUUGUGGUGGAUGGCUGUCUACAAAUGUAGCCUAUAUGUUUAUUUUACCACAAUAAUGUUUGAAUUGAGUAAAUUUAGGCUGACUAUCAGUCAUUGUUUUUGCGACCAGUGGAAAGCCAGUGAGAAAUGCGUUCUUACAGCAUCUGCAUAGUGCUGAUCCCAGCCUAUGGAGUAACAGUUUGAGGGAGUUCCUCCCUUCUAAACUCCUCCUUGUUCUCCAUACUGUUAAAAACAAGCUUCAUUUAAAAAAGGAAAGGGAUUGUUCCUCGGGUACUUAGUCAGUUGUAGAACUAAAUAAAUCAACUGAAAUGUGUCUUCCACAUUUAACCCAACUCCUCUGAAUCAGAGAGGUGCGGGGGAGGGGGGGGCUGCCAUAUUUGACCUCCAUUUGACCUCUGUACCCGAGGAACAAUUGGGGGUCAACUGCCUUGCUCCAGGACAAAAGGGCAGAUUUUUCCACCUUGAUGGCUUGGGGAUUUGAACCAGUGACCUUUCAGUUACUGGCCCAAUGCUAUUGACCACGAGUUGGGCUUUUAUGGCUCAAAGUUUUGGUUCGUGCUCAAAGAAUGACAUUCCAUGAGAAGAGCAUUUGUUUCUCAACUUGAAGCAAUGAGCUCAAUUAGUACUCCAUUACAUCCGAAUCAUAGACAACAGAGUAGGCUAAGAAGUCCUUAGUUUUCGGGUUAUGCUCAGGUAUAACAAUUAGGAGAAUCUAUAUUUCCAUAUUACCAAGUUGUAUUCUUGAAUAUCAAGGGGAAUUAAAUUAAUUGGAAUGACUGGACAUCUGACGGACUUUGUAUUUUAAUGUAAAGAAAUAGCCUACAUUUAGAAAGUAACCCAGCUCCUCAACCCUGGGAGUCAGGGAGGGACAUACGGAGAGCUAGAAGGAAGAGGAAGGUGUGUGUAUAAGGGACAUACGGAGAGAUAGAAGGAAGAGGAAGGUGUGUGUAUAAGGGACAUACGGAGAGAUAGAAGGAAGAGGAAGGUGUGUGUAUAAGGGACAUACGGAGAGAUAGAAGGAAGAGGGAGGUGUGUGUAUAAGGGACAUACGGAGAGAUAGAAGGAAGAGGAAGGUGUGUGUUCACUACAUAAACGUGUAGAAAUGAAACUGUAUCUCACUAGAGUGCGGCUGCAUCAGGAAACUCCCAUAGUGAAAGAGAGAAAGAAGAGGGAGAGAGAAAUAGGGGAGAGAGAGGAGUGUGCAGGCGAGAGAGAGAGAUAGACAGUAAAUCUCAGUAAGACCAAAUGAAUGGUGUUCCAAAAAAGGUCCAGUUGCCAGGACCACAAAUACUAAUUCCAUCUAGACACCGUUGCCCUAGAGCACACAAAAAACUAUACAUACCUCAGCCUAAACAUCAGCGCCACAGGUAACUUCCACAAAGCUGUGAACGAGCUGAAGGAGAGAGGGAGAGAGAGAACCUUCCAUAACAAAGCCAUCACCUACAGAGAGAUUAAUCUGGAGAGGAGUCCCCUAAGCAAGCUGGUCCUGUGGCUCUGUUCACAAACACACCCCACGGAGCCCCAGAACAGCAACACAGUUAGCAACACAGUUAGACUCAACCAAAUCAUGAGAUAACAAAAGAUAAUUACUUGACACAUUGGAAAGAAUUCAUAAAAAAAACAGAGCAAACUAGAAUGCUAUUUGGCCCUAAACAGAGAGUACACAGAGGCAGAAUACCUGACCACUGUGACUGAGAGUAAUGUUUAAUGUCAAUGUUUAUUGUUUAUUUCACUUUUGUUUCUCUAUUUCACUUGCUUUGGCAAUGUCAACAUGUUUCAGAGAGAGAGAGAGAGAGAGAGAGAGAGAGAGAGAGAGAGAGAGAAAUAUAAAGUGAAAGUGUUCAGACCCUUUGCUAUGAGACUUGAAAUUUUGCUCAGAUCCAACCUGUUUUCAUUGAUCAUCCUUGAGAUGUUUCUACAACUUCAUUGGAGUCCACCUGUGGGGUAUUGUGUGUCGCUUGAUGAGGGAAAAAACGAUUUAAUACAUUUUAUAAUAAGACUGUAAUGUAACAAAAUGUGGAAAAAGUCAAGGGGUCUGAAUACUUUCUGUUUUUAUAUUUAGCAUGUAGGCACCAGGGUGUUGUGGAGUGUGUUCAGGAAAGGGAGACAGUCAUUACAUUUUUUUAUUUAACCUUUAUUUAACUAGGCAAGUCAGUUAAGAAGAAAUUCUUAUUUUCAAUGACGGCCUACCCCGGCCAUAGGGACUCAAAUCACGGCAGGUUGUGAUACAGCCUGGAAUCGAACCAGGGUCUGUCGUGACACCUCUAACACUGAGAUACAAUGCCUUAGACCGCUGUGAUACAGCCUGGAAUCGAACCAGGGUCUGUCGUGACACCUCUAACACUGAGAUACAAUGCCUUAGACCGCUGUGAUACAGCCUGGAAUCGAACCAGGGUCUGUCGUGACACCUCUAACACUGAGAUACAAUGCCUUAGACCGCUGUGCCGCUCGGGAGCCCCAUUUGACUGUUUACUGUACUGUAUGAUGGCUGCCAGGUCGUCGUAUAGUGUGUUCAGUGUUCUGGACUGUAUUUAAUGAUUUACUUCAGGCCUCUAGUCUGCUGAACCAAGGGAGUUGUUUGCUCACGCACACACGAAUGCAGACGCACGCACUACACACACACACACACACACAUACAGACGCGCACAAACACACACACACACACACACACACACACACACACACACACACACACACACACACACACACACACACACACACACACACACACACACACACACACACACACAGGGGAGUUGUUUGCUGUACUCUGUUUGAGCUCAUUUAAACAUGGUUAAUGAGUUCCUAGUCACCCCUCUCAUGUUGCUCUGCAGCUAUAAAAAAAGAACUAUCUCCUCUCUCUCUCUGUCUCGCUUUCUCUCCCCCUCGCUCUCUCUCUCUCCUCUCUCUGUCUCUCUCUCUCUCUCUCUCUCUCUCCCUCUCUCUCCCUCUCUCCCUGUCUCCCUGUCUCUCUCUCUCUCUCUCUCCUCUCUCUGUGUCUCUCCUCUCUCUCUCUGUCUCUCUCGCUCUCUCUCCUAUCUCUCCCUCUCUCUCCCCCUCUCCCCCUCUCUCUCUCUCUCCUCUCUCUCCCUCUCUCUCCCUCUCUCUCCCUCUCUCCCCCUCUCCCCCUCUCUCUCUCUCUCUCUCUCUCCCUCUCUCCCUCUCUCUCUC